GAGCGCUCUCUUGCCGGACGUUGCGCUGCCGCGACGGCCGACGCCAACAGCGCCGAGGCGCUCUAGGCUCCGCGCUACGAGUGGUACCUGGCACGAACCACGAGGCCCCAGUCUGUUCAUCGCAGGUCGAGGUCGCCCCGCUUGCACCGCCGACUGGACCCCUCUUGGAUGUGGGAGCGGCGGACCAUAGCUAUGUUUUUUCUCAACGGUGCCCCAGGCGUUGGGCCUCGCUGCCGCGGGCGGACGAUUCUUAGACUCUGCAAGUAAAGAUAACCUGGUGUUCCCAGUAUAUCAUGGCUUCAUCUUCAAGCGGCCUCUCUACUGGGAGAAGUACCAGCUCAAAGCUGAAGUCUGUGAAGUUACUUGAGGUUUUGAAUGCUCUGGAAGAGGAGAAAUCUCACAGUAGGGAAGAGAUCUUCAUUGCACCGCCCAAAAAUGCUGCAGGGGACUUCACUGAUGAAGACUCAGGUGAUGAAGAUAGCCAGCGAGGAACCCACGUGCCCGGUAAUGUGUUGCAUGCUUUUGUGGUCCCUGAGGACUCUGGCACCGCAGAGGAGGAGGAGGAUGACCUGCAACUGCAGCCAGCCACGAAGAAACGGAAGGCAGUAGUGGAACCUCAACGUGUUUGGACCAAAAGAGAUAUCCGCCCGGACUUCAGCAGUUGGACAGCAACAGAUCCUCAUAUGGAAGAUCUCAAAAGCCAGGAACUGAGUCCUGUAGGUCUCUUUGAACUGUUUUUUGAUGAAGGAACAAUUAAUUUUAUUGUUAAUGAAACCAAUCGUUAUGCUAGGCAGAAAAAUGUCAACCUGGGUCUCACAGCCCAGGAAUUGAAGUGUGUCUUGGGCAUUUUGAUUUUAAGUGGGUAUAUCUCUUAUCCAAGGAGAAGGAUGUUUUGGGAAACAUCUCCUGACUCACAUCAUCAUCUUGUGGCUGAUGCAAUUCGAAGGGACAGAUUUGAACUGAUCUUCUCAUACCUGCAUUUUGCAGAUAACAAUGAGCUUGAUGAAAGUGAUAGGUUUGCCAAGGUCAGGCCUCUCAUCGUACGCAUGAACUACAAUUUCCGGAAGCAUGCACCCUUGGAAGAGUUCUAUAGCUUUGGCGAAUCCAUGUGUGAAUACUUUGGACACCGGGGGUCUAAGCAGCUGCCUGCGGGGAAGCCUGUGCGGCUGGGCUACAAGAUCUGGUGUGGGACAACGAGCAGGGGCUAUCUGGUGUGGUUCGAGCCCUCCCAGGGCACACUGUUCACUAAGCCAGACAGGGGCCUGGACCUGGGAGGCAGUAUGGUGGUGAAAUUUGUGGAUGCACUUCAGACGCGUGGCUGUCUGCCAUACCACAUAUUUUUUGACAAGGUUUUUACAAGUGUCAAAUUGAUGUCCAUUUUAAGGAAGAAAGGAGUGAAGGCCACAGGAACUGUUCGUGAGUACAGAACUGAGCGUUGUCCCCUUAAAGAUCCCAAAGAACUGAAGAAAAUGAAGAGGGGUUCGUUUGAUUACAAAGUUGACGAGAGUGAGGAGAUCAUUGUGUGCCGCUGGCACGAUAGCAGUGUGGUCAACAUCUGCUCCAAUGCUGUGGGCAUAGAGCCGGUGGGGCUGACCAGCCAUCACUCGGGAGCAGCCAAGAUGCAGACCCAGGUUCAUCAGCCUUCCCUGCUGAGACUGUACCAGGAGAAGGUGGGGGGUGUUGGCCGUAUGGACCAGAACAUCGCCAAGUACAAGGUGAAGAUCCGGGGCAUGAAGUGGUACUCAAGUUUCAUUGGCUAUGUUAUUGAUGCAGCUCUUAACAAUGCUUGGCAGCUGCAUAGGAUGUGCUGCCACGAUGCCCAGGUGGACCUCCUGGCCUUCCGAAGAUAUGUGGCCUGUGUGUACUUAGAGAGCAAUGCAGACACGUCAUCCCAGGGGAGGAGAAGCCGGCGGCUGGAAACUGAGAGCCGCUUCGACAUGAUUGGGCACUGGAUCAUCCACCAGGACAAGAGGACCCGCUGCGCCCUGUGCCACUCACAGACCAACACCCGCUGCGAGAAGUGCCAGAAGGGCGUCCACGCCAAGUGCUUCAGGGCAUACCACAUCCGGUACUCUUUACCUGUUGGCACUGCCCACUGAUUUUCCAAAAACCAAGUUGGCCUCUGUCUUCAGCUUCUCAGCCUCCAUCCUCUGUGCACAACUGAUGUCCUAUGGCCGCUCAACAAGGAGUGGAGUGGAGCUGGCUUUGGAUUGAAGGUGCAUCACUGAGAUUGUUUGCAGCUAAAAGGAAAACUCUGCCCUCUAUCUGGUGGACUGAAACCGCCCCAUCAACUUUUUUAGUGAACAUAGAACUUCUUUGUUUCUGAGACUGUAUGCAAGAGGGUUCAGGAGAGGGGUAAGGACAGUCCCAAAGAGAAAGAGACCCUUGUUCAACUUUGGAGUCUUGGCAGAACCAGGCCUCAUGUAGAUGCACAUACCUGGACCAAAAUAGAGACCCACCACACAGAGAUGAGAGGAGCAAGUGGCCAGAGUCUUGUUCCUGCCUUCUGGGGAGUUCAUUCAGAGUACAGCAAGGAAGAUGAGAACAUAGGAGGACAAGAUGAGAGAUAAGGGCAGCAGCAGGACUAGGAUGCUGGUCACCACUACAGCCUUCUCAUAGGUUGAGAUGCCCUCACAGACAAUCCUAAGAACAGCCAUGACUUCACAGAAGAAGUGAGGAAUCUCUCUGGGGCUGCAGAUGUGAAAAUGUAAGGUGAAAGCAGUGUGGCCAAAGGAAGUAAGGGCACCUCCAGCCCAAGCCAUGGCAGCCAUCUGCCAGCACAUCCUAGGACUCAUGAUGACAGGGUACCGCAGGGGAUUGCAGAUAGCCACAUAGCGAUCAAAACACAUGACAGUUAUAAGGAUGCAUUCUCCAAUGGCUACUGUCAGCGAGAAAAAUAUUUUGAGUCCCACAAGCCAAGAAUGAGAUGCUUUGCCAUCCAGAGAAGAAGUUGGCCACCAUCUUCGGUAUGAUGCUAGAGGUCAAAGUCAAAUCCAUUAAGGAGAGCUGACUGAGCAGGAAGUACAUGGGGGUAUGGAGCCAGGAAUCCAACCAAAUGAGGAGGACCAGAAGAGUGUUGCCAAUGAAGGCAGCCAUGUAGAUAA
This is an RNA transcript of Cervus elaphus (red deer), 3104 nucleotides long. It is a transcript of the gene named piggyBac transposable element derived 2, with no coding region annotated. The record is from RefSeq and is a predicted model, not a curated record. Lineage: Eukaryota; Metazoa; Chordata; Mammalia; Artiodactyla; Cervidae. The transcript has 5 exons.